GUGGUUAUUUUUGCAACAUUCUGAUAUUAGAUAUUGGUAAUUUCUGAUAUUAGAUAUUGGUAAUAUGAUAAUUAAUAUUAUUUUAUUGUAUUAAAUAGUUCUAACUAAAAGAGGCCUGCAACAUAUAGAGGUUCGAAUCACAGUUUUUCUUAUCAGCAUGUUUUUAAACAUUAUAGGUAUAAUUGGCUGGAGAAAAGAAAAAGUAAUUCAUCUGCAAGUGUCAUUUUCCUGAAUGAAUGCCAAACAGACUAAGUUUGGAUUGAAUUUGCAGUUUAUUUUUACCCCUUAAUUAAUUUUCCUGAUGCACUUUAUUGAUAAUAACAUGCUCAUGAAUAGUAUAGAUACGAAAGUUCACCUAUAUUUUUAACAGAAUCACGUGAGUACGUUUAGCCACCAAUUUACUAAACAUAUAUACAAUACGCAUGCAGAGAAGUAUCUUACAGUGGCAAAUAUCUGAUUUUUCUCAUAAAACAAUCGUUGAGAUUAAAAAUAUUUUCACGAUUUAAUGUGGAUUUGUAUAUUCGAACAAUGUAUGGCUCUUUUAGUUAUACUUGAAGCUAAUACUGUAGUUACUUGUUUUAUCAGUGACAUUCUUUUAGGCUUUUGGCGUUGGGACGAAAUGGACAUACAUGUAGCUAGGACGAAACAACUUUCGCUGUGGGGCGAACAAUUAAAUAUCUCCACACACACGAUUGAUUCCCUUUUUUUUAAAUAUUUAUUUAUUUAUUUUUUUAAUAAAUAGAACCGACUAUGGGAGCCAUUUGUGCGGUAACUCUAGGGGAAAAUACGGAGUUGUGGUUCUUGUUGGUUCCUGCUUAUAAGAGUAGCCUCUCGGAACACCAUUCCCACACUUCGAUGGUCAACCAGCGAAGAGUACGCACCGCAAGUGAUAACCAGCAUUUGACUCUUAAAUCAGCGCUUCUUUGUUAACGGGUAGUGCAGAAGCAUGAGCAGUGCAAUUAACAAUCAGCAAUGGUCUCGCCUUCGGCAAGAACAGGAAAGGGCAUUGUCUGACACCAGUCAGCAGAUCUCUCAGCAUGAAAAGUUCAGAUCAGAUUACUCCACUCUUCGUGAGAGACUGCUGACUUUGCCCAACAAAUUACUACAUAACGUAAUGGUUCCAUUCGGGGACUUGGCAUUCAUGCCAGGUCGUUUGAUACAUACAAACGAAUUGUUGGUGCUCCUUGGAGAUAGCUACUUCCUAGAAUGCUCUGCCAUCCAAGCAGCUGACAUUGCUUCUCGCAGACUAAAAGAACUUGACAAAAAAUUAGCACAGCUUCAGCAGCAGAAGCAAUUGCUUCUUCCACGUGCUUAUUUCACACAGGAGUUUCUUAAUAUGUCCAAGGGUGAGGGAGAAUUGGUGGAAAUUAGAGAAAAGUUUGAUGAAGAAAAUGAAAAACAGUGGAAAGCUGAUCAUACAGAACGUGUUCAGAAGGCUCGACAGCAAGAGAAUAAGGAGAGGGCAGCUGGAGGCAUUCUGACAGAUGAAGAACUUAUGAAAAGACUGGAUGAGCUUGAGGAGCAGGAGCUGAAGAGUUUUAGGCUAAAAGAAGCAAAAGACUGUAGAUGAAGAAAGUGAUGAUGAUGGUGAGGAGGAGGAUAAUGAGGACAGAGAUCAUAAAGUCUCAGCGCCAGACAAAAUCAUCAGAUUUUCUCACACAAAAAGAGUCUUCACUGGAGAGGUUUCAGGUCAACAGGCUGCCAGUGACAGCAAUGGUGGGAGCAUUAACAUUAAAACUCCUGCAGAUCUCUACAAACUUGUGCAGAGCCCACCUUACUAAAUUCUCAAGAAGCCUGGUAAAAAUAAUGCAGGCAAACAGCAUCAAGGUCUUGGUGGUCAUAGUGCAGUCAGCCCCAAGAGCUUGACACAAAAAAAGAUGGUCACCUUUGAAGACAAUUCCCCUACCAGGUCACUGGCCAUGGGAGAAGCAAGCACGACAGUUUCAAGGGUGUGUAUACUUUCAAAAGAGCACGAAGAAAAUAAGACAUAUGAUGAAUGGACAUGGGGAUGAAUCCAGAGAUAGAGCAGCUGUUAAGGCUUUUAGAAACACAGUGAUAGAGAAAAUGCAGCAGGAAACAACCUCAUGUGAGAGACAUUCUAUGGCUAACCAGAUGGAGAGUGCCAGACCGACAUCCAGAUUCAAAGCCUCUAGACAGAAACCCAAGUAGCAGCGGGUGGCAAUCACGGUCAUGUGGAUGAGCAAAUGUAAUGGUGAAUCUGGUGUUUCUGCUACAUUGCCAUAGACUGAAAACAUUGUACUGGGUGUUCCUGCACGCUCGUGUCGAGUACAAACUGUGGCAGAUCUGAUUUUCUUACAGUAUAUACAUUCAUUCAACAUUUCCGUUUUUCUCUUAUAUCACUUUCUCAGCAUCUCUAGGAUAAGUGUUUUGGUUGAGGGGCUUUUUCUAUGCUGCACUGAAACUGCACGGCAUUUCCUUUGUCACAUUGACUCUAAUAACCAUGUUAAAAAUGCUUUAAAGACGUACCUGUUCAAGAAAUACUUUCACUACUUGCUGCGCUAGAGUUUACAUUCUCCUUUACUCCCUUAUAAAUAGAAAUCUAUCACAAUAACUUUCUCAGUAUUAUAUGGAGAGAGAGAGAGACUUCAAAAAUAAUGACCUUGUUCACGUUGUUUAGCUUAUGUGUACGUAACGAUGCAAUGAGAUUCCCCAGGGGAUCACCAUUAAGUUGUAUUGUAUGGUUGUAUGUUGAUCUUCUGUGCAUUUCUUUGGAGCAUUCAGCGAUAACACCUUAAAAAAGACAUGUAGAAGAAUUCACAUGCUUCCGAGCAAUGUACAUCUACUUAUAUAGAGCUUACGACCAUGGCAUAACAAAAACACAUAAAGAGAUUUAUUUGUGUGUGACUUCUUAGAGUAGACGGAACGGACUUAAUUGUUACAUGCGUAUAUUGUGUAUAUUGCGAAACUCCAGGGUUUCAAAACUCGAUCAUACUUAUCAAUUAAACUCAUUUUACAAUUGAU
This 2982-nucleotide unclassified non-coding RNA is filed under the name Pomacea canaliculata. RNAcentral's name for it is "unconventional prefoldin RPB5 interactor 1-like, transcript variant X1". The record is from RNAcentral. Lineage: Eukaryota; Metazoa; Mollusca; Gastropoda; Architaenioglossa; Ampullariidae.